Molecule: ribosomal RNA, 439 nt
Filed under: uncultured bacterium
Lineage: Bacteria
Description: partial 16S ribosomal RNA
Rfam family: Bacterial small subunit ribosomal RNA
Source: RNAcentral
CUACGGGCUGCUGCAGUGGGGAAUAUUGCACAAUGGAGGAAACUCUGAUGCAGCAACGCCGCGUGGAGGAUGACACUUUUCGGAGCGUAAACUCCUUUUAUAUAGGAAGAAGAUGACGGUACUAUAUGAAUAAGCGCCGGCUAACUCCGUGCCAGCAGCCGCGGGAAUACGGAGGGCGCAAGCGUUACUCGGAAUCACUGGGCGUAAAGAGCGUGUAGGCGGAUUAAAAAGUCAGAAGUGAAAUCCUAUAGCUUAACUAUAGAACUGCUUCUGAAACUCUUAAUCUAGAAUAUGGGAGAGGUAGAUGGAAUUUCUGGUGUAGGGGUAAAAUCCGCAGAGAUCAGAAGGAAUACCGAUUGCGAAGGCGAUCUACUAGAACAUUAUUGACGCUGAGACGCGAAAGCGUGGGGAGCAAACAGGAUUAGAUACCCCAGUAGUC